CAAUAGCGUAUAUUAAAGUUGUUGCAGUUAAAAAGCUCGUAGUUGGAUUUCUGGUGAGUUCGUUUGGCCGGCCGUAAAGGUCUGUGCCGAAAUGUUAUUCGCCAUCCUUGGUGUAAUCUUGUCCGCCAUUAAGUUGUGUGGGCUUGAGGAUGCCAUCGUUUACUGAAAAAAUUAGAGUGUUCAAAGCAGGCUUAUGCCGUUGAAUACAUUAGCAUGGAAUAAUAAGAUAGGACCCUGGUACUAUUUUGUUGGUUUGCGUACCUAGGUAAUGAUUAAUAGGGACAGUUGGGGGUAUUUGUAUUCCGUUGUCAGAGGUGAAAUUCUUGGAUUUACGGAAGACAAACUACUGCGAAAGCAUUUACCAAGGAUGUUUUCAUUA
RNAcentral lists this ribosomal RNA (379 nucleotides) under uncultured eukaryote. RNAcentral describes it as "partial 18S ribosomal RNA". It matches the Rfam family "Eukaryotic small subunit ribosomal RNA", at positions 592 to 975 of the family's 1831-position model. The record is from RNAcentral.